This 254-nucleotide ribosomal RNA is filed under the name uncultured bacterium. Its description in RNAcentral is "partial 16S ribosomal RNA". It matches the Rfam family "Bacterial small subunit ribosomal RNA", at positions 524 to 776 of the family's 1533-position model. The record is from RNAcentral.
UACGGGGGGAGCAAGCGUUGUUCGGAUUUACUGGGCGUAAAGGGCGCGUAGGCGGCCACUGCAAGUCGGUUGUGAAAUCUCCGGGCUUAACCCGGAAAGGUCAAUCGAUACUGCAGGGCUAGAGUGCAGAAGGGGCAACUGGAAUUCUCGGUGUAGCGGUGAAAUGCGUAGAUAUCGAGAGGAACACCUGCGGCGAAGGCGGGUUGCUGGGCUGACACUGACGCUGAAGCGCGAAAGCUAGAGGAGCGAACGGG